GUAGAGAUGCUGGGUGUGCGGGCGCGGCCGGCCUCCUGCGGCGGGAGGGGAGGGUCAGUGAAAUCGGCUCUGGCGCGGGCGUCCUCCCACCCUCCCCUUCCUUCGGGGGAGUCGGUUUACCCGCCGCCUGCUUGUCUUCGACACCUGAUUGGCUGUCGAAGCUGUGGGACCGGGCCCUUGCUACUGGCUCGAGUCUCACAUGAGCGAAACCACUGCGCGGGGCGCGGGGGUGGCGGGGAGGCGGGCGUUGGUACGGUCCUCCCCGAGGCCGAGCGCCGCAGUGUCUGGCCCCGCGCCCCUGCGCAACGUGGCAGGAAGCGCGCGCUGGAGGCGGGGGCGGGCUGCCGGCCGAGACUUCUGGAUGGCGGCGGCCGCGGCUCCGCCCCGGGUUCCCACCGCCUGAAGGGCGAGACAAGCCCGACCUGCUACAGGUGUGGAAACAGGAAGAGAACUAGAACUGGAAGUAAAGCAUUGAAGAUGUGACUGAAUUGCUGCAAUCUCAUGAUCAAAUUUGAAUGGAUGAGGAGUUGCUUUUUAGGGAUGAGCAAAGAAAGUGGUUUCUCGAGAUGGAAUCUACUGGUGAAGUUGCUGUGAACAUUGUUAAAAUGCCAAUAAAGGAUUUAGGAAUUACAGAAACCUGGUUGAUAAAGCAGUGCCAGGGUGUGAGAGAGUUGACUUCAAUUUUGAAAUAAGUUCCACUGGCUGGGUGUGGUGGCUCACACCUGCAAUCCCAGUACUUUAGGAGGCCGAGACUGGUAGAUCAUUUGAGGUCAGGAGUUCAAGACCAGCCUUGCCAACAUGGUGAAACCCCACCUCUACCAAAUUAGCCAGGUGUGGUGCACACCUGUAGUCCCAGCUACUUGGGAAGCUGAGGCAGGAGAAUCUCUUGAACCAGGGAGGAGGAGGUUGCAGUAAGCCGAGAUGGCGCCCCUGCACUCCAGCCUGGGUGACAGAGUGAGACCUUGCGUUUAAAAAAAAAAAAAAAGGAAAAGGAAAAAAAAGUUCUACUGUGGGUAAAAUGCUAUCAUGCUAUCAAACAGCAUCACAUGCUACAGAGAAGUCUUGUGAAAGGAUGUCAGUGUGGCAAACUUCAUUGUCUUUUAAGAAAUUGCCACAGCUAUCGUAAUCUUCAACCACCACCACCCUGAUGAGUCAGUAGCCAUCGUUAACGUUGGCGUAAGACCCUCCACCAGCAAAAAGAUUGUUAGCAUUUUUUUAGCAGUGAUGUAUUUAUCAAUUAUACAUAAUGCUAUUGUACACUUCUUAAUAGACUAUGGUAUAGUGUAACCAUAAUUUAUGCACUGGGAAACCAACAAAUUCAUGAGAUUCGCUUUAUUGUAGUGCUCUGGAAUUGAGCCUGCCGUGUUUCUGAGGUAUACCUGUGUAUUUAGUAUGUUCCUUGUAUAUAAAACCCCAUUUUAUAGGGUAGGAAACUAAGGCUUAGAGUUUGAGCAAUUUUCCCAUAGAUAACACCAAUAAAUUGAGGGCUGCAGAGACCACUUAAGUGGUUCUCUUAACAGUAGUCUAGACAUGACGUAAUGAGAUUUGGCUUAGGAGUGACAAUGGUAAGGAAGUUAAAGGAUUCAGGAACCAAAUACCAGUUAUUGAGAAGAAAGAAUGGCCUCAAAACAUCACUUCUCAAGGAAGCCUUGAUACCCUCACCCUUACUACACUGUAUCCUCCAUUUGAAUGUUGUCAAGAGCUCUUCUCACAAUUGUAAAUAAUAAUUGUGUAAUUUUGUUUUUUUUUUCCUACUUUAGGUUGCUCCUUGAGGGCAGGACAGUUCUUAUGGCUUUAUCCGUUGCGUAAGCACAGAGAGGUCUGCGAGGUCAAAACUAUUGUCAUGAUAGCAAGAUGCCUGUCUUUUUCAUUUAUUCUCACGGUGUGCAGAGGCUACAUGAUGUGUGAUGACAUCCUCAUUGAUGUUAAUGAAUGGUGCUAUACUUGAAUUUUCUAAGGUGUCAUUAGGUAGGUUUAGGUAUGCAUACUUGUUUUUAGAAAUUAUUUUUUUCCUUUUUCCCAUUUUUAGAAAUCAACUCAUUUUUUAGGUUAUGCCUUCAGUAAUCUUUGCAACCUCAAUAUUGUGUAAUGGUUACUUUAAAAUACUGUAGUUUUCUUUGUGCCUAAGUAUAAACAUAAGUACAUUUUGUUGUUUUGUUUGCAAUAGUGGUUUAAAUAUUUUCCCAAAAUAUCCAAAUUUAAAAAUUCUACAACUUUAGAAUUUAAUAAAUUUAUUCUAAAAUAUUUAUAUAUUUUUUCAUUUAAGAAUGGAUCGGCUUAAAAAGACUGCUUCUCAUUUACUUACUGGCUAUACCAUCUGUAUACUAAUAAAAAACAAGAUUUGAUUUGGAAGGACUGACUCAAACUAACGAAAAUAUGAAACCUGUCUUUCUGCUUUGGAGAUAUUUACCUAAUCAUGUUCUGCAGUAGAAUAAUUUAGUUCUUUUGUCUUUUUUUGGAGAUGAGGUCUUGCUGUGUUGCCCAGGCUAUUCACAGCUGCCAUCAUAGUGAACUACAGCCUGAAACUCCUGGGUUCAAGAGAUCCUUCUGCCUCAGCCUCCUGAGUAGCUGGAACUAUAGGCAUGCGCCACCAAGCCUGGGCUUUUAAAAAAAUUUUAAAAAGAAUUUUGAGACAGGAUCUUGCCAUGUUGCUCAGGCUAGUCUUCAACUCCUAGCCCUGAGUGAUCUUGCUUUGGGCCUCUCAAAAUGUUGAGUUAAUAGGCGUGAGCCACCAUACCCAGCCAAAAAUUUUUUUAGAGAUGGGAAUGGAAUGAUCUUGAAUAGUGUUGGUGCCACCUAUGUUGUGGCAUCAUUUUGAAACCAAUCAUUCAGAGUGCUUUUUUUGGUAAGGCAUUAUUUUUUAAUGCAGGUAUGCCACUACUGGGAAAAAAAAAAAAACAGGUUUUAAAGCUAGAAAUGAAAAGCUACUUAAGUAUCUUAAAGGAUAAGUUACUUUAUUAUACACUAGAAACAUACACAAUAGCUGAAAAACUUAAAAAAUCUCACACUGCUGAAUGUCUCUGCUGGCUGAAGUGUAAGUAAAAGAUCAUAGUAGUGCCGCUGUUGAGUGAUAAAGCAACUUGUCAUUAAAGAUGUGUGUGCAGACAUGGAUUCUGAGUUAAUAUCUCAUCUGUAGAAGUAUAUAUUUGUCCCUUGCUUUGGGAUUGGUUUCUGGACAGCACUCCCCCACCCUUGCUGGCCAUUUGCCAAGGACACCAAAACCCAAGGAUGUUGAAUUCCCUUUUAUAAAAUGGCGCUGUAUCUGCAUACAACUUACACACAUCCUCCCAUAUACUUUAAAUCAUUUCCAGAUUUCUUAUACUUCAUACAAUGUGAAUGCUAUAUAAAUAGUUGUUACAUUGUGUACUUAUAUUUGUACUAUUGUAUUAAAUAUUCUCAAAUAUUUUCAAGCACAUUUGGUUGAAUCUGCAGAUGCAGAACCUGAGGAUAUGGAGGGCUGACUGUGCUAAUACGUUAUCAAUGGAUGCGUGCAUAAACAUGGCUGGACUUGUUACUUGGCUUGUAUUUGCCAGGCAUCAGCACCAACUAGUUAAAGAUACUCUUACGUGAAAGCUUGGCAACAAACACAUGUCCUGAAAUAAUGCAAGUGUAGAAUAACUUUUUAAAAUCUCAUGGUUUAUGCUAAACUAUAUGUUGACAUAAGAGUGGUGAUAAGGCAACAGUAGGUAAAAGUAAAAUUUCAGGCACCUUGGCACAAACUGUGGCAGUGGCAUCAAACUCUAAGUUAUUUUUCACUGCCAUGCAUUUGUGGUGUGAACCCCCACAAAAGAAAAAAACCAGUUUCACUCAAGAAUGUCCUUGUGAAAGCAGUGACAUUUUGUUAAAUCUUAAACCCUACAGUACAUAACUUUUUGAAAUGGUUGUCUCAAGAAAAAGCACUCAUGUAAGCUGAAUUAUCUGCUAUUUCCUUGGAGCCUAACAACUGACAGCAAUUGUUUUCAAUGAUAAAAUCCAAACGUUGAGUCAAAAUCAGAAUUUCGGGAAAACUUGUGUCUAAUAUCAGGAACUUGACAGCUUCCCAAUACUUCAUGAGAUAGUGAUAUUGAAAAUAAUUUUUUUUUUUUUUUGGGACAUCUGGCUGACUGCAACCUCUGUCUCCUGGGUUCAAGCAAUUCUCCUGCCUCAGCCUCCUGCAUAACUGGGACUACAGGGAAGCACCAUUUUCCACAAAACUCUCAAGAAGGACUUGUUGCAACUGGAAAAGCAAUUAAAUGUGAAUCGUGAUCCAGGAGAAAGUAACAACUCACAUAACUCCCAAAUUAAAAGUUUUCCAAAGAUAUAUCAUUUUUUUUCUCUUGGCCUUUUAAGAAACUAGCCAACAAAUACUCUUGACAGGUUUGUGUUUGGUUUUGAAAACACACACCUUAGUGUACUGAAAGAAAAACAAUUUCUUUUAAUUUGGUUUGUUGGUCCCACACCCCAUCUAUCAAUGUAUGUGCUAUUUACAAAUAAGUUCUAUACAGUAUUUUUGCAGUACCUUUGAUAAUUCCUAGACCUCUAUUUUCAUUCUGUGUAUUAAUGUGAAUAACAGAUGGAUAUUUUAAUAUUUAAGGCAGAUGGUAAACUUUCCUAUAGGUCUUGUGAGACUUCGUCUUAUAGGCUGAACACCAUUCACAAAAUGUAAUAAUGCUUCAUUCCUUCAGGUUGAGGUAAAGAACUUGAGCAACUGGAUUAGCAAAGCUGCAAAGAAUGAAAUGUGGCCUAAGAUGUAAUUAUGUUCUCUGCCCUUCCUUUGGGCCAGGGUAGUUUUGCACUUGACACAAUGGAAAAUAGGCCAUAAAGCCUGAAAAUAAAAUGUUCUAAACCCCAA
RNAcentral lists this long non-coding RNA (4831 nucleotides) under Homo sapiens (human). RNAcentral describes it as "non-protein coding THUMPD3-AS1:62". The record is from RNAcentral. Lineage: Eukaryota; Metazoa; Chordata; Mammalia; Primates; Hominidae.